AGCAGCCGCGGUAAUUCCAGCUCCAAUAGCGUAUAUUAAAGUUGUUGCAGUUAAAAAGCUCGUAGUUGAAUUUCGGGAUCAGUUGAUCGGUCGUGCCUCGGUACGUACUGGUCAAAUUGAUUCCUACCUUCUGACGAACCACGAUGUCAUUAAUUUGGUGUCGUGGGAAAUCAGGACUGUUACUUUGAAAAAAUUAGAGUGUUUAAAGCAGGCUCGCGCUUGAAUACAUUAGCAUGGAAUAAUGAAAUAGGACGUUUGAUUCUAUUUUGUUGGUUUCUAGGAUCGACGUAAUGAUUAAUAGGGAUAGUUGGGGGCAUUAGUAUUCAAUUGUCAGAGGUGAAAUUCUUGGAUUUAUUGAAGACUAACUACUGCGAAAGCAUUUGCCAAGGAUGUUUUCAUUAAUCAAGAACGAAAGUUAGGGGAUCGAAGACGAUCAGAUACCGUCGUAGUCUUAACCAUAAACUAUGCCGACUAGGGAUCGGAUGAUGUUAAUUUUUUAAUGACUCAUUCGGCGCCUUAC
RNAcentral lists this small RNA (520 nucleotides) under uncultured Glomus. Its description in RNAcentral is "SSU rRNA". It matches the Rfam family "Eukaryotic small subunit ribosomal RNA", at positions 569 to 1091 of the family's 1831-position model. Lineage: Eukaryota; Fungi; Glomeromycota; Glomeromycetes; Glomerales; Glomeraceae. The record is from RNAcentral.